Molecule: unclassified non-coding RNA, 219 nt
Filed under: Hevea brasiliensis (rubber tree)
Lineage: Eukaryota; Viridiplantae; Streptophyta; Magnoliopsida; Malpighiales; Euphorbiaceae
Source: RNAcentral
UUUAUUUCUUGCCUCCCAUAUUCCAUUUACCAGAUUGAUACUGCUAUUUGAAAUGAUAGUUAGGGUUUAAAAUUUGAAACUAAUACUUGUAUUGUGUAGGAGAUAGGCUAGAAUUGAUUGGAGUUUGGUUUUUGACAACCAUGAUAAAAUAGUUUUUUAACUAAUUAUUGAAAAAAUUAUUAUAGCCGACCUAAAUAGUUUGGGAUUAAGGCUUAGCUG